UUCCUAUUGAAAUGAAAAUUUUAGAAUAAACAAAUAAAUUUAGAAGAAAUCAAUGAAAUUUCAUUUGAAUGAAUGAGUUUUUACUUCUAUAGUAGUCAGAGCUAAAGUCUGAAGUUCAACUCAAAGGAAGCAAUAAAAUAAUAAAUUUCAUUGGACCCAGAGAUAGUUAAUGGAUAUGGUAACACAAUCUCGAUAAAUUCAAUUUAAUAAUGAUUCUUUUUCGAAAUUUUCAAAGAUAAAAAGAAUUAAAUUAAAUUAAACUAAACCUCACCUUGAAUAUCUGGGAGUGUUGGAAAAAAGCAAAGGUUUUCUAAUUUGUAGCUCUCAAAUUAAUGAUAGAUAUAAUCGAAAUCAAAUAAAAGUAACCAAAAAUGAAAGCAAGAAGGCUGAGGAAGAACAGACCUG
This 405-nucleotide unclassified non-coding RNA is filed under the name Hevea brasiliensis (rubber tree). The record is from RNAcentral. Lineage: Eukaryota; Viridiplantae; Streptophyta; Magnoliopsida; Malpighiales; Euphorbiaceae.